ACCCUUUUUGUGGUUCAUAAGCUUGAUUAUUGGGUUCUCAUGACACUGUAAGAUGUGCCCCCCUCAAACCUCAUUCCAACACCAGCACAUUAUCCAUCUGAGG
Molecule: small nucleolar RNA, 103 nt
Organism: Saimiri boliviensis boliviensis (Bolivian squirrel monkey)
Lineage: Eukaryota; Metazoa; Chordata; Mammalia; Primates; Cebidae
Product: small nucleolar RNA U13
Source: RefSeq, a predicted model, not a curated record